Molecule: ribosomal RNA, 844 nt
Filed under: uncultured bacterium
Lineage: Bacteria
Description: bacterial SSU rRNA
Rfam family: Bacterial small subunit ribosomal RNA
Source: RNAcentral
CAAGUCGACGAUGAAGUUCCUUCGGGAAUGGAUUAGUGGCGAACGGGUGAGAAACACGUGAGAAACCUGCCUUUCAUUUUGGGAUAACUCCGGGAAACCGGAGCUAACACCGAAUACUCCGUCUCGGCGGCAUCGCUGAGCCGGGAAAAAAUUUUGAUGAAAGAUGGUCUCGCGGCCUAUCAGCUAGUUGGUGAGGUAAUGGCUCACCAAGGCGACGACGGGUAGCCGGCCUGAGAGGGCGACCGGCCACACUGGGACUGAGACACGGCCCAGACUCCUACGGGAGGCAGCAGUGGGGAAUAUUGGGCAAUGGGCGCAAGCCUGACCCAGCGACGCCGCGUGAGGGAUGAAGGCCUUCGGGUUGUAAACCUCUUUCAGUAGGGAAGAAGCGAAAGUGACGGUACCUAAAGAAGAAGCACCGGCUAACUAUGUGCCAGCAGCCGCGGUAAUACAUAGGGUGCAAGCGUUGUCCGGAAUUAUUGGGCGUAAAGAGCUCGUAGGUCGUUUGCCACGUCGAUUGUGAAAAUCUGAGGCUCAACCUCAGACCUGCAGUCGAUACGGGCAAACUAGAGUGUGGUAGGGGAGACUGGAAUUCCUGGUGUAGCGGUGGAAUGCGCAGAUAUCAGGAGGAACACCAAUGGCGAAGGCAGGUCUCUGGGCCAUAACUGACACUGAGGAGCGAAAGCGCGGGGAGCGAACAGGAUUAGAUACCCUGGUAGUCCGCGCCGUAAACGAUGGGCACUAGCUGUGAGAACCUUCCACGGUUUUCGCGACGCAGCAAACGCAUUAAGUGCCCCGCCUGGGGAGUACGAUCGCAAGAUUAAAACUCAAAGGAAUUGACGGG